Non-coding RNA from Schistosoma haematobium, 48 nucleotides. NCBI's taxonomy places the organism in Eukaryota, Metazoa, Platyhelminthes, Trematoda, Strigeidida, Schistosomatidae. The record is from Rfam.
AUCCAGGUGACGAGUCACAAACAGGACGAAACGCGCGUCAAACUGGAU